UAGCUCAGUGGUUAAGAGCACUGACUGCUCUUCAGAGGUCCUGGGUUCAAUUCCCAG
Molecule: transfer RNA, 57 nt
Filed under: Cricetulus griseus (Chinese hamster)
Lineage: Eukaryota; Metazoa; Chordata; Mammalia; Rodentia; Cricetidae
Rfam family: tRNA
About the family: Transfer RNA (tRNA) molecules are approximately 80 nucleotides in length. Their secondary structure includes four short double-helical elements and three loops (D, anti-codon, and T loops).
Source: Rfam by way of RNAcentral